CUGCCUGCACUUUCUAUUUCUGCAGAGAUCAUCAUGCCCAGACCCACCAAAGUCCUCAUUGGGCUUCUGGAUCACUGUUGCGAGGUUUGCAGGUAUUUCCUGGUACAUACGUUAUUAGCCUGGACACCAGAAUGAAUCCAGCAGCACCCCUCACAGAGCAUUUCCUUGGAACACACGACCGGAGGAAGUCAUUCAGACACCAUGCCACCCAGCAAACCAUUUACGAGAAGCCCACACGUCUUCACAAAGGAUUCAAGCCCUCCUGUGGAAACCAUGGACCUAUGGAAGGAGACUUACUUGGAAGCCCUAACUGAAGCCUGAAGGAGGGAGAAAAUCUUG
This 339-nucleotide long non-coding RNA is filed under the name Equus caballus (horse). RNAcentral's name for it is "lncRNA (ENSECAG00000058864.1)". Lineage: Eukaryota; Metazoa; Chordata; Mammalia; Perissodactyla; Equidae. The record is from RNAcentral.